RNAcentral lists this unclassified non-coding RNA (227 nucleotides) under Hevea brasiliensis (rubber tree). Lineage: Eukaryota; Viridiplantae; Streptophyta; Magnoliopsida; Malpighiales; Euphorbiaceae. The record is from RNAcentral.
AUUGCCAUGGGCCAGGGCUCCAACACAAAAGACUAGCCUAUCAGAUGGAGCUAAUCAAACUGCUUAUAAGAGCAAUAACCACCCCAUCUCUUACCAAUGUGGGAUUUUGUAACAAUAGGAUUUUGUCUAACCAACUACAAUGACAGCCCUAACAUGUUUCUUUAUGCAAAAUCACAUCUGACUCUGAAGGAUACUAUGCAGACGUAUUGGCAAAGCAUAGACAAAAG